This 301-nucleotide ribosomal RNA is filed under the name uncultured bacterium. Its description in RNAcentral is "partial 16S ribosomal RNA". It matches the Rfam family "Bacterial small subunit ribosomal RNA", at positions 509 to 807 of the family's 1533-position model. The record is from RNAcentral.
CAGCAGCCGCGGUAAUACGAAGGGUGCAAGCGUUAAUCGGAAUUACUGGGCGUAAAGCGUGCGUAGGCGGUUUGUUAAGUCUGCUGUGAAAUCCCCGGGCUCAACCUGGGAAUGGCAGUGGAUACUGGCAAGCUAGAGUGUGUCAGAGGACGGUGGAAUUCCCGGUGUAGCGGUGAAAUGCGUAGAGAUCGGGAGGAACAUCAGUGGCGAAGGCGGCCAUCUGGGACAACACUGACGCUGAGGCACGAAAGCGUGGGGAGCAAACAGGAUUAGAUACCCCCGUAGUCCCUGUCUCUUAUAC